RNAcentral lists this long non-coding RNA (1839 nucleotides) under Equus asinus (donkey). RNAcentral's name for it is "lncRNA (ENSEASG00005029921.1)". The record is from RNAcentral. Lineage: Eukaryota; Metazoa; Chordata; Mammalia; Perissodactyla; Equidae.
ACUUGCUGUUGCUGUUAUUUUCUCCAGAGAAUUCUAAGAGAUUACAAAGACCUGAGGAGACUUUUUGAAAAAAUGCGCAUAAACUGAUUGGAUUCAACAAUCUAACUUCCUCUGGGGCUACUGAAAUGUUUCCCAGAGAUUUGCUGAAUUCCUCACUUCACGUCGUGGUGCAGACGGAAACGUUUGACUGUGUCCUGAUGUUAGGGGCGGCCUGCAGAGCCUGUGGACAUGAUUUUGAAGCUUAACCUUUCAUUGGCUUCUGCAUCUGGAGUGUUUCUCUUUUUACAACCUGGAUUUCAUAUCUUCGUCAUGAGUGCUACCAUUUGGCUUUUUAGUUCCUUCUGAAUUCUUGGACACAGCCCUUCUGUCCUCAUGAUUUGUCACUGUGUGUUUCUCUAGAGACUGCCCCACCUCUUCCCUGGAGGCUUCCAGCUCUGUCAUGGCCCUCCAGUGACUUCCUGUUGACAGUGUCCUUGGGAUGGAAUCACUCCAUCAACUCCUCUAAAGGACAGUUUCAAAACCCCAUGGUUCUUCUGCUAAUCUGUAGCAACACUUGGCUACCCAAACGACUGGAGGCAUAAACCGACCUGGAGACUUGGGAAUCGGGACAAUGAGGAGUCUGCCCUGUUGCCUUUGGAAAUCCUCUUCUGAACUUCUGCAUGAGAGAGCAGCGAUAUUUCAUUUCUGGGGGGAACUGAGGUGGGAUCUGGGGACCUAACGUAAAAGCCAAGGUGCCUCGAACAACGUAUGAGGGGGGCACAGGGCUCCACUGUUCAAAAGAAUGCUUAUUUUUUCCACGCAGAGAAAAAGUAUUUAUUGAGCACCUACUGUGUACCCAGCAUUGUGCUUGGUGAUACAGAGGCAUAAUCAAAUUUAAGACCUGGCUUCUGCUAGCUUCAGAGCAGUAUGUUGGAAAGAGAACAGGUUUUGGGAAUGGCAUAGGUAUCAAUUAGAAAAUGAUGCACAUCUGCGCAACCACCAUCGUGGUAACGGAGUGCAGUUGGAGUUUAGAAGAGUGAGAGAGGAAGGUUGGAAUUGUUGGGGAAGUCUUCCUGGGGGAAGUGAGAUUUGAGCGGGUGUCUGAGGAUGGAGGUUGUAGAUGAUGAUGUCUAAAAGCGUUACCUUUAUACACAGGACACCUGGGUGUGAAUCACAUGCCUCAUCCCAGAGACUGUGUCACACUGGGGAAGUCAUCUCGUCCUUCUGAGCUUCAGUUUCCUAAUCUGUAAAAUAGGGAAAAUGCAUCACAGGGUUGUGAAGAUUAAAUAUGAUACCAUGGUAAUUGACUGAGGUGCCCAGCUAUUUCAAUGUGAGAAAAGAAAGGUUUUUUGACCAAUGGUGCUGGAGCCACUGGAUAUCCACAUGGGUGGAAAAAUGGGCCUCGGCCCCUACACCAGUCCACAUACAAAAGUUAAUUUGAGGUAGAUUACAGAUAUAAUAUAUAAAACCAGAGCCAUGACUCUUCUAAAAGAAAGCAGAGGAGAAUAUCUUAGUCAUCUUGGGGUAGACAAAGAUUUCUUUGUCAGGACAUGGAAAGCACUAACCAUAAAAGAUAAAAUCGAUAAAUUGGACUACUUCAGAAUUAAAAACCUCUGCUCAUCAAAAGAUACUGUUAAGAAAAUAAAAAGGCAAGACACAGAUUGGGAGAAAAUAUUUGUAAUACAUAUAGCAGAAAAGGACUUACAGCCAGAAAAUACCAAGAACUCUUACAACUCAACAAGAAGACAAACUCACUGAAAACAUGGACAAAAGAUUUGAACAGAAAACUCACGAAAGAAGAUAUAUGAGUGGACAAUAAAUAUACGAAAAGAUAUUCGAUGUCUUUAUUUAUCAGGAAAA